Oryza sativa Japonica Group (Japanese rice) is the source of this 1038-nucleotide long non-coding RNA. RefSeq lists it as uncharacterized. The record is from RefSeq and is a predicted model, not a curated record. Lineage: Eukaryota; Viridiplantae; Streptophyta; Magnoliopsida; Poales; Poaceae.
CCCCCUCCAUUUUCCACACACCAAUCGAGCUCUUCGAGCUCUGCCUCUCUCUCUCUCUCCUGCCAUGUCCGGCUGCCACCUACCGUCGGCCGAUCUCCCUCACCGGAAUUCCACUAAUUAAAUCCUUGCGCCAUCGGGUUUGCCUCGACGAGGUGAACUCAUUUUCCUAGUUUCCCCUUCCUUUACCCUUCCGAAACCAACCACCACAGCCACCUCCUCUUGUUGCCAGAGCUAUACUCUUGCCUGCGCCGUUCCGGCCAUCUCCUUCACUCCCUUUGCCAACCACCGACUUCCCCGGAUGCGCAUCGUUCGGGAACACCAUCCUCUACCGGCGCAGUCAUAUCUUAGCCACCACAGCAUCGGCGCCCUUCCUCUCCUCCUCUCGGUUCCCUGGCUAACAGAGAGGAAGAAAACGAAGCAAGGAGAGAAGAACCGGAGGAAGAAGAGACAUAUGACAUGUGGGCCCCACUUCUAUAAAUGAGUCACGUGGUUUAAAGAGGUCGGUGGUUGCUGUAAGGAGGGAUUCUUUCAUAGAUUUGAAGUUCGAAGUGGGCGCGUUUCCAUCCAGUUUCGACCAGCAUUAUGUUUCCUUCAAGGAGAAAAUCCAUGGCUAUGAUACUCAAGAAAUAAAGACUGAUUUUGCGUUAAUCUCAGUAAAGGUGACUUGGUCGGCUUUGCUUUCUGGACUAGAGUGAUACCUCUGUUUCUGUAACAGAGUGGGCCAAGAGUGGCUAAAAACCUGCGGCUUACUAAACCUAGGUGCGGCAAACUUGGAUAGUAAAGUAUUGUAAUAAAUCUGUCAUUGUAAUUAAGCCCUCCGUCCCUGAAAAAAAGUACUUUUAGUAAUGCAUCUGAAUAAGUGUUUGUUGAGAUGCAUAGUCGGUCAAUCUCUCCGUCCCUGAAAAACUGAACAAGAACUUUUAGACAUGCAUAAUUAGUUUCGUCUCUGUAUUAUUACUUCAGCACUAGGGGUUGUAUUAAUUAUAUGGAGGAAUCUUCAAGGCACAACCGUAGAGUGGCUUCUCUGUGAUUUCUGCA